Molecule: ribosomal RNA, 119 nt
Filed under: Gadus morhua (Atlantic cod)
Lineage: Eukaryota; Metazoa; Chordata; Actinopteri; Gadiformes; Gadidae
Source: RNAcentral
GCUUACGGCCAUACCACCUUAGGCACGCCCGAUCUCGUCUGAUCUCGGAAGCUAAGCAGGGUUGGGGCUGGUUAGUACUUGGAUGGGUGACCGCCUGGGAAUACCAGGUGCUGUAAGCA